CACGUAGGGUGCAAGCGUUAUCCGGAAUCACUGGGCGUAAAGCGUCUGCAGGUGGUUUCCUAAGUCCACUGUUAAACCUUGAGGCUCAACCUCAAAUCUGCAUCGGAAACUAGGAGACUUGAGUAUAGUAGGGGUAGAGGGAAUUUCCAGUGGAGCGGUGAAAUGCGUAGAUAUUGGAAAGAACACCGAUGGCGAAGGCACUCUACUGGGCUAUUACUGACACUCAGAGACGAAAGCUAGGGGAGCAAAUGGG
Molecule: ribosomal RNA, 253 nt
Filed under: uncultured bacterium
Lineage: Bacteria
Description: partial 16S ribosomal RNA
Rfam family: Bacterial small subunit ribosomal RNA
Source: RNAcentral